Molecule: ribosomal RNA, 750 nt
Filed under: uncultured Thermotoga sp.
Lineage: Bacteria; Thermotogati; Thermotogota; Thermotogae; Thermotogales; Thermotogaceae
Description: bacterial SSU rRNA
Rfam family: Bacterial small subunit ribosomal RNA
Source: RNAcentral
GACGAACGCUGGCGGCGUGCCUAACACAUGCAAGUCGAGCGGGUACCCGCAAGGGUACCAGCGGCGCACGGGUGAGUAACACGUGGGUAAUCUACCCCUCGGAGGGGGAUAACCGGGGGAAACUCCGGCUAAUACCCCAUACGAUCCAACAACACAAGUUGUUGGAUGAAAGGAGCGUUUGCUCCGCCGAGGGAUGAGCCCGCGGCCCAUCAGGUAGUUGGUGGGGUAAUGGCCCACCAAGCCUACGACGGGUAGCCGGCCUGAGAGGGUGGUCGGCCACAAGGGCACUGAGACACGGGCCCUACUCCUACGGGAGGCAGCAGUGGGGAAUCUUGGACAAUGGGCGAAAGCCUGAUCCAGCGACGCCGCGUGGGGGAUGAAGCCCUUCGGGGUGUAAACCCCUGUUGCGAGGGAGGAAUAAGGCCUGGAGGAAAUGCCAGGCCGAUGACUGUACCUCGCGAGGAAGCCCCGGCUAACUACGUGCCAGCAGCCGCGGUAAUACGUAGGGGGCGAGCGUUACCCGGAUUCACUGGGCGUAAAGCGGGUGUAGGCGGCUCGGUAAGUCGGGUGUGAAAUCCCACAGCUCAACUGUGGAAUUGCGCCCGAAACUGCUGAGCUUGGGGCCGGUAGAGGGAGACGGAACUGCCGGUGUAGGGGUGAAAUCCGUAGAUAUCGGCAGGAACGCCGGUGGGGAAGCCGGUCUCCUGGGCCGCGCCCGACGCUGAGACCCGAAAGCUAGGGGAGCAAACC